RNAcentral lists this ribosomal RNA (253 nucleotides) under uncultured bacterium. RNAcentral describes it as "partial 16S ribosomal RNA". It matches the Rfam family "Bacterial small subunit ribosomal RNA", at positions 524 to 776 of the family's 1533-position model. The record is from RNAcentral.
CACGUAGGAAUCGAGCGUUAUCCGAAUUUACUGGGCGUAAAGCGCGUGCAGGUGGUUUGUUAAGUUGGAUGUGAAAGCUCCUGGCUCAACUGGGAGAGGCCGUUCAAAACUAGCAGACUUGAGAGCGGUAGAGGAAGGUGGAAUUCCCGGUGGAGUAGUGAAAUGCGUAGAUAUCGGGAGGAACACCAGUGGCGAAGGCGGCCUUCUGGACCGUUUCUGACGCUAAGACGCGAAAGCUAGGGUAGCGAAUGGG